RNAcentral lists this long non-coding RNA (443 nucleotides) under Homo sapiens (human). RNAcentral describes it as "small nucleolar RNA host gene 29". Lineage: Eukaryota; Metazoa; Chordata; Mammalia; Primates; Hominidae. The record is from RNAcentral.
CUUUUCAUUCCCGUUGUUAUGGAGGGCCACAUCUGCCAGAGCCUGGAGUCUGCGAAGGCCGGGACCCGGUUCCCCGGCCCACAGUGGGGGUGUGCAAACCCGAGAGAACUGGGUUGCAAAUUCGUGAAGAAUCAGCAUCAUGUUUGGCAGCUGAGUAUUGGAGCCAGGAGCCUGCCAUGAGGUUUUGAGAACAGAGUGCUGUUUUAGAGCUGGCAGCAGCAUCUCAGCCCAAGAGAAGGCAUGACUCCACAGUUUCUGCAACAACAGAGCCGGGGAAAGGAGGACGCAGCAAGCGCUGAAUAUUAACCAGCAAAGAUGGGACCGUCUAGUUGCAGGAAAAGAAGCUCAGCGCCCUCACUGAUUCCACAUUAUGGGGAGUUGUAUAAUUAUUUCAUUAUAUUACAAUGCGGUAAUAACAGAAAUAAAGUACACAAUAAGUGUAA